Molecule: long non-coding RNA, 3233 nt
Organism: Drosophila simulans
Lineage: Eukaryota; Metazoa; Arthropoda; Insecta; Diptera; Drosophilidae
Exons: 2
Source: RefSeq, a predicted model, not a curated record
CGUAUGGCGUUACGCAUCUUGUUAUUCUAUUGUCUUUGGUCAUACUCUUUUUAUUUUACCAUACUGAUAAGUCGGAUAUGGGAUGUAAGGAGACGAUCGAGGUACCAAUUAAUUGUGGUUCGGUUGCUGCUACUGGUUUCAAGAUGCAUAAUGAUACAUAAUGGCCCUUGCUCCUUUUCCAUGUUCCAGUUCCUUUAACGAUGAUAGAACCUCAUUGGUAGUAAUGUAGAAUUCUUUUAGUUAUUUAGUACGGUAGUAGUAGUAGUAGUCACGUUUUAUGUAUUGUUGGAAAAAGCGAGUUAGAGUCGAGUUUGCCACAUGUCGGGUAUUGUUGUCGUUGUCAACUAGUAUGCUCCAUGCGCUGACGUUAUUCUCUUCUUUAAGAUCGAUAUAUACUAUCAAUCCAUUUUGGAUCAUUAAGUACUCUAUUGGUAACUGAGUCAGAAGAUUUACAAGAACAACAAAAACAAGAAUUUAUGUGGCUAUUCUUUAGUGAACAAUUUUUCAAUAAUUUUGGAUUAGAACUGAACCUAGCAAUGCAGCGAUAGCGAUGCCUGACCUGUUUCCCAUUUUAAAAAGCGGAACAGCAAAUAACUUAUUACAUUAAGGGGGAAAAUUACAUUGACGAAAAAGACAGUUUGCAAAAUAUUUAAGAAUACACAUAGGGACCAUAUCAAGUCCUGUUGAAAAUGAGAAUUGGGACUUUUUAAGCUUUCGAAGACAUCAGCUUUAUGAAUAAGUACAUUUAAAUUCAAAUUGGUGUGGGGUGAAGGCUGGGUAAAUUUAAUAUCACUGUUAUUGAAAAAGAAAACAACAAACAAGUUGAAUAUGGAAUUUUCAUCUGACGCAGAAACGAGUUAAAAAACAACGAGAGAGAAAGCAAAUAAGAAUUUGCUCAUGCCAUUAUUUGGUCCCUCAAGUCAUAUAUUUACAUUUUUUAUUCACCCAUCAAUAUGAGUAUUAUCAUCAAGUCACACAGCUCCCGGUUGUCAAAAUUCGCCUCCAACUUCAUGUAGAAUAUUAGAUAUGAUUUGAAGAUGGACGCGGCAAGGUAGUUGCCCGCGAACUCCUCCGCCUGCACCGUUGUUGCAGGGGGAUGUCAAGGUGACACGUUGCUGCUCACGUAGUUGCUGAAGUGUGUUGCGGCGAGUUGCUGCCCACAACACAGUCACCUCGUUGUCGCCUCUGUAGCUGCGGUGUGGUGCAGAGUGCGGAUCGGGAUCCGGUGGUGUCCACGAUCGGUGAAUAUAGCUGAAGUGACCAACUGGAAUAAGCCGGUAGCAGGGUCGUAGCUCCGACUUGAUAUUCACGGCAGGUAUUUUACGAUACGAACCUCGUAAUUUAUGCAAGAUAUGUUGACAAUUGUUUUUCCUAGAACUUAUUAAUUAUUUCAGAACAUUUUUCAUUUUGACGCUAAACUCAUAUUUCCCGUGUUCUCCUCAAUCAGGACCAUUUUAUUUUCGUGCGGCUCGAUUCGCGAGAAGUAGUCCCGAUAUAUAUAAGAGCACAGAAACGAGGAAACCCGUUACUCAGCUAAUGUGAAUGCGAACUUUCAUCAUUUUUCUGGGAUAUUGAUAUUGGUGAGAGAAUGAGAUAAAUGAGAAAAUAAUUUCAAAAUCGUUCAAAAGUGUGCUUUACGGCGUUAGAGUGGGCGUGGCAAAAAGUUUUUUGGCAAAUCGAUAGAAAUUUACAAGACUAAUAAAAAUGGGAAAAAAUAUCAACACAUUUUUUAAAAGUGUGGGCGUGUCCAGAAUUUGUCUUUAUCUCCUACCUCCUGUCUCAGCCUCCUAGCUUUUAUAGUUCCUGAGAUCUCGACGUUCAGACGGACGGACAGACAGACCGACAUGGCCAGAUCCACUCGGAUCAGGAUCUAUAGAUCAAGAAAAUAUAUAUUUACUUUAUAUGGUCAGAAACGCUUCCUUCGACCUGUUACAUACUUUUUAACAAAUCUGGUAUUCCCUUUUAUUGUUUAAAUUUAAUUCAAAUCAUCGGAUCAUCGAAUUGCAAAAAAAGUCUGCGCUCUGCGCAAUAUUAAAACCUGAUAUACGUGAAUUUUCAAAUCUCAUAUGUUAAGCCUGUCUGUAUUGCUGCUACAGUAUCAGCUAUUAAUAUAAGAUAAGUAUUAAAAAGAAACGCAUUUUUAAAUUAGAAUUAUUCUAGUUUCUUUGGUUGAAAGUUGGUGAAAUCGACUUUUUGCUGUGGUUCUGGAUUUUAACCGGCCGGUUAAUGAUGUCAUCAAUUGAGAGUAGACCAUUUGAGUUGGGAUUUUCUUUGCAUCAGAUUGCCUUAUUCUGAAGGAGUUACCUAAUAUAGUACGAAACGAAAAACCGUGGAUAACAUUGCAGGUGUUGUAACCACAGAUAUGACAAAUGUUUGCCUGUCAUCAACAUCAAAUCAUAUUUUCAUCGUAAAUGGUUUAAUAUCGUUUUCAAUGAUUGUAAUGAUUGUAAGUCCGAAUGGCAAGAAAUGUCCGAAUACUGCAGGCAUAUUUUAAGACCAUCUACGUACACAAGAAGGUGUUAUAACUAAUAGAAGUCAUCAAUAAUUAACCGUAGGUCGCAUGUGGACAUUGUUGUAAUCUUGAAAUAAAUCUUAUACCCAGCGUGCCACUAUUGGCAGCUAGGGCGGAUGCAUGCUUAUGUAUCCAAUAGGAAUUUUACAUGUGCUUAGCUUACGCAGGAAAACACGUUCUUAUCAAUGCCAACGUUUCCUCUUAGUCCAUCCGCUGUCCUCAUAAACAGGUAUUACGUGAACGGCCUUUCGUGAACUUGCUCUCUCUGCUGAACUGGAAUUAUUUCCAUUGCCUGCAGCGGGGGAGAAAGUUAAUAUCGCACAAUGGGUAACGAUAGUUUGGCAUCGCUAUGGUGCUGUCAUAGCAAAUGGGGACUAUUGGCUAGCUGAAAAUAAUUCAUCAUUUAUGGAUCUCGAUUGAUUACAUAUUGAGAUAUGAACGGCGUCUUCGAUUGAAAUUGUUUUGUAGAGCGAUUAAAGAUUUUAUUAUCCUCUCUUCCAAAGACCGAGUGAUUUUACCAGCCAGCUUCCUUGCCUGGGUGCUAGGACACCGUUCCUCUUAGUUACAACAGUAACAUUCGACCCGCUCGUGGUCCAUUGUCAAGGACACACAGGCCAAAAAAGGCAAGGCACACAGGAGCAGGAGCAACGCCGCGCAGCAGACGGCGAUCACCGGAGGAGUCAGCUGUGAAAUACUACAAUAAAGCGACUUUAUUCUAAAA